UUUCCGUAGGUGAACCUGCGGAAGGAUCAUUCAUAAUAAGUGUUUUAUGGCACUUUUUAAAUCCAUAUCCACCUUGUGUGCAAUGUCAGGGUUGAUUUUUCUCUCGAGAGGAUCAACCCCAAACAUUAACUAUAUCUCAACUCUUUGUCUGAAAAAUAUUAUGAAUAAAACAAUUCAAAAUACAACUUUCAACAACGGAUCUCUUGGCUCUC
This 212-nucleotide unclassified non-coding RNA is filed under the name plant metagenome. Its description in RNAcentral is "partial contains small subunit ribosomal RNA, internal transcribed spacer 1, and 5.8S ribosomal RNA". The record is from RNAcentral.